This 443-nucleotide ribosomal RNA is filed under the name uncultured bacterium. Its description in RNAcentral is "bacterial SSU rRNA". It matches the Rfam family "Bacterial small subunit ribosomal RNA", at positions 29 to 507 of the family's 1533-position model. The record is from RNAcentral.
AACGAACGCUGGCGGCAGGCCUAACACAUGCAAGUCGAGCGAUGAAGCACCUUCGGGUGUGGAUUAGCGGCGGACGGGUGAGUAACGCGUGGGAACGUGCCCUGGGGUACGGAACAACCAUUGGAAACGAUGGCUAAUACCGUAUGACGUCUUCGGACCAAAGAUUUAUCGCCCUGGGAUCGGCCCGCGUUGGAUUAGCUAGUUGGUGGGGUAAUGGCCUACCAAGGCUGCGAUCCAUAGCUGGUUUGAGAGGAUGAUCAGCCACGCUGGGACUGAGACACGGCCCAGACUCCUACGGGAGGCAGCAGUGGGGAAUCUUAGACAAUGGGGGCAACCCUGAUCUAGCCAUGCCGCGUGAACGAUGAAGGCCUUAGGGUUGUAAAGUUCUUUCACCGGUGAAGAUAAUGACGGUAGCCGGAGAAGAAGCCCCGGCUAACUCCGUG